GAAUGGAUGGGCAAUGGGAUCCUACUGUACAGCACAGGGAAAUGUGUGUGAUUGGGUCACUUUGUUGUACAACAGAACUUGAUGAAACAUAAAUCAACUAUACUUUAAUAAUAAAAAAAAUAAAUUCAUAUUGUAAAAAAAAAAGACAAAAAAAAUGAAACCCGAAAGUUGGCAGCCAAAGAAGAAAUUCUAUUUCUCAACCUUUCUAUUUCCUUUUUUUUAAUUUUUAAAAGUUUUAUUAAAGUCGAUUUACAAUGACUCAUACACAGCAAGUCAGAAGACUGAACAAAAGCCAAGAAAACCAUUGCUGUAUUUUGUUAAAUAUUGUCCCACUACACCAUUAGGUUUGCCAGGGAGAUACUUCCAUUCUAUUUUGGCAAAAUUAUUGUUCAAAGUUUUAUCAAAUUGAGAUGAAAAAUGUUACCACUUAGGGAACAUAAGAGCUUAUUCAUUCAAAACAGUUCUAGAGGUGAAUGUGGAAAAUGUUUUGUUAAAAUAGACACAGAAGAUACAAGUUAAAAGAAACUAAACAUUAUGUUUAUGAUAUAAAAUAUAUAGUAAUAAAAAUAGAAUUUACCAUGAUAAAUUAUUUUAAAUGCUAAGAUGUUUAUCUAUAUAAAAUUGCCCAGAUACUUAGAAAACUACUUUUACAUUGAGAAGUCAGAAACAAGAAAUAAGAAAUUUGUUUUGUGAUGACAAAAUGCAAAUAUUAAGAACAUAUGUAAUAAGCCUGAAUUACCUUAAACACAAGAACUUAUUAACAUUUUCUGAUAAAUUAGUGUGAUUAUGUACGUACUUAAAAGUUAGAAGAAAUUGGCCAUUUGAUGCUCUCCCCCUGGUGGGAAGUUGUGAAAACGUUAGAGAGGCUCAAGUAUCAUCAAACUGAAAGUCCUCAAUAGAGAUGGUAUUGAUUUGACAACUGACACUUUAAUAUAAAUAUAACAUUGCAUAAGCUUCCCAAUUACUGAUACUUGCUAAGGUGUAUAAUUCUUUUAUUGAAAGGAUACUCAAGUUUUAUUUAUUACUUGUACAAUAUGAGCUUUCUCCUUGUUUUCUCUCCAAAUGUGUUUCUGCUGUCAUCUAAGGAAAAUUAAAAACAGGAUUGUUUUUGAGAUAGUAGAAACCUAUCCAUAUUUGUCUUAUUUUGUUUUCCUCUUGUAACAUAGUCAUGAAUCUGUAGUGUUCAAGGUCCUUGAAUCUCUUUCCUUGCAAGAACUUGAAAUCUUUGACUCUUUGAAAUACCCAUACUAUUGUUGUGACUGGUACAUUUUUUCUGUCUUAGAAUGUCUUUACUUUUGAAACAAAAAAUAAGAAAAAAUUAAGAAAAUGAGAGAAAAGUGGUUUACAUGUUUAGAAUAAGGGAAAAAAAUCCCAUCUUUUAUAAAUGAGUUAUAGUUAAGAAAUUCAGAAAAUUAAAAAUGAUUCAAUGGAGAUAAUGUCAAGAAAAGCAGCCAAAUAACUAUUUUGGAGGGGAAUUUUACAACAAAAGUUUUUAACGAGAAACCUCAUUUUGAUUUAAAAUUAAAAGGAAGAUAAUUGUGUGCUCAGAUCAGUGAAGUUGGCCAGAAAGGGGAUUAUGCUGGGAGAUAGGAUUUCGAUUGAGGAUGGGCUUCUUUGGUCUAUUAAACUUGGUCAGCAAGGCUGGAUUUGCAGUUCCUUAAUUUUUAGGCCCAUAAAUAAUACUAAAGGACCUCUGCUUUCCUACCUUCACACAAUGAGGAUUCAAUUUAGGGCAUGCUAGCUAUUGAUGGUGAGAUGCUGGUGCUGUUGGUAAUACAGAGAGAAAAGCCAUAGAGAUAAAAUCAUCAGUUAAUGUUGGAGAAGCCAACACACAAUCAAGAAAUCAAACUCUGCCAACUCUUUAUAACUGAGCUGUGAAAAGUAUUUCAUUAUUUCUAGGUUACGAGACUGUAUGACUUUAAUUGCCAAGAUGCUGUGAUGUAUCAGGGACAAUGGUGGCAGCCAUUCUGAAGUUUUAUCACUUGUGGCUGAAGAGAUCCUGAAUUGUUAUGCAUUGCAGUAUCCAUCUGAGAACAGUAUUUUGAAAGCUAUUUCUCUUUCAGUAGUAAAAGCAUUAGCAUUCUCAUCAUAUCCUGUGCUGGUCAUCAAGAUUUUAAUUUGUUAUAUAUUCAUUUCAAAGGAAACCCAAUGAAAAUGAUAUAAAAAUAAAGACAUUUGAAUUUUCCAUUUCUAUAGUGCAGACAGAGAAGGAUUAAAAUAACAUUUUCCUACUCUCUCUAUAAAACUAAUUUUUAAUCAUCUGCAUCGUAUGUUUUGGUACUUUAAUAAGAUAUUGAUAAAGAGUUACCUGGAUCUCUCCUUAUGGAGUUCUAAGUGGUUUUGGUCAUUGUUAGGGCAAUUUUGAAAAUAAUUUGUCUGUAUCACGAAGAUAAGCUUGAGAUUGUUAAUAAUUCCUGGAGACAGAUGGCCCCUUCUUCAGCGAACAAGCCUCCACCCU
Molecule: long non-coding RNA, 2458 nt
Filed under: Sus scrofa (pig)
Lineage: Eukaryota; Metazoa; Chordata; Mammalia; Artiodactyla; Suidae
Description: lncRNA (ENSSSCG00040063270.1)
Source: RNAcentral